CCUACGGGUGGCAGCAGUGAGGAAUAUUGGUCAAUGGCCGAGAGGCUGAAGCAGCGAAGUCGCGUGAGGGAAGAAUGUCCUAUGGAUUGUAAACCUCUUUUGUCGGGGAGCAAAGUCACCCACGUGUGGGUGUUGGAGAGUACCUGAAGAAAAAGCAUCGGCUAACUCCGUGCCAGCAGCCGCGGUAAUACGGAGGAUGCGAGGGUUAUCCGGAUUUAUUGGGUUUAAAGGGUGCGUAGGGGGGUUAGCAAGUCAGUGGUAAAAUCGUGGAGCUCAACUCCAUCCAGCCGUUGAAACUGAGGAACUGGAGUGUGCGAGAAGUAUGCGGAAUGCGUGGUGUAGCGGUGAAAUGCAUAGAUAUCACGCAGAACUCCGGUUGCGAAGGCAGCAAACCGGCGCCCGACUGACGCUGAAGCACGAAAGCGUGGGUAUCGAACAGGAUUAGAUACCCGGGUAGUC
Molecule: ribosomal RNA, 459 nt
Filed under: uncultured bacterium
Lineage: Bacteria
Description: partial 16S ribosomal RNA
Rfam family: Bacterial small subunit ribosomal RNA
Source: RNAcentral